AUACGGAGGGUGCGAGCGUUACUCGGAGUCACUGGGCGUAAAGCGUCCGGAGGCGGUCGGGUAAGUCGGGUGUGAAAGCCCCGGGCUCAACCUGGGAAGUGCACCCGAUACUGCUCGACUCGAGUGCGGGAGAGGAUGGCGGAAUUCCCGGUGUAGCGGUGAAAUGCGUAGAGAUCGGGAGGAACACCAGUGGCGAAGGCGGCCAUCUGGCCCGCAACUGACGCUGAGGGACGAAAGCGUGGGGAGCAAACAGGAUUAGAAACCCCAGUAGUCC
Molecule: ribosomal RNA, 274 nt
Filed under: uncultured bacterium
Lineage: Bacteria
Description: partial 16S ribosomal RNA
Rfam family: Bacterial small subunit ribosomal RNA
Source: RNAcentral